This 792-nucleotide unclassified non-coding RNA is filed under the name Athalia rosae (coleseed sawfly). RNAcentral describes it as "misc RNA ENSAEAG00005007153.1". Lineage: Eukaryota; Metazoa; Arthropoda; Insecta; Hymenoptera; Athaliidae. The record is from RNAcentral.
GUAAAAUCCCAAUUGACCUCGACGAUAAAUCUCCCGACUAACCCGAUGAAUUUCUCAGCGCAAAUAGCGUGAUCUCAAUCGGUAUUGGCGAUUUUCGAGGACAUCGAAAUUUCAGCCUUUUAUAUCGCAUCAAGGGCAUCUGCAGGAUACGUUAUUAUUCAGGAGACGUACAACAUCACCUGCCGAUCGUGAAAACUGCUACGGAAUCCACAUUACACAAACCACAUAAUAAGAACAUACAAGGAUUUGAUCAUAGGUUUCUUGCGUGGUGAUACUUGUUAUAUUCGACACCGUCUUCAUAUCAUUAAUAUCGAGAUGAAAACAAUAUUUGCAAAAGGUUAGUCAGUAAUUAACUAUAAAGUACAGCGAUACAGAUAUUGAGUAAAUCUCAAUUUUCACACAUACGAUCACCACAUUUUCUGCACAUAAUUCUUUAUAAUCACGUGAGAUAUCUGUAUGUGAUCAUUUUUUGACCCAAAGGUUUUAACUAUUUUUAUAUGUAUGUGUAAAUCUGUGCGAAAAAUGUCAGUAAUUGAAGAAUCGAUCGAUCACAUUAUUAUCGUUGUGCAUUAAGAUUAUUAUCAUCCUAGCCGAUUUAAUUACGGUCGGUUACGAAUGUAAUUCAAAAAAAAAAUCAUUGUUCUAUAAUUCACCGUUUAUCAUCGUUUCCAAAAUCUUACUAUCCAUUUAUACAUUAAUUCAGUUUUUUCCCUUUUCUUUUUCUUACUUUGAUACAUUUAAUUGCUGCUGAUUAAACAGUCAAAAUAUACAUAAAUUUUUUUCCACGUCAUU